RNAcentral lists this long non-coding RNA (40594 nucleotides) under Lathyrus oleraceus (garden pea). Its description in RNAcentral is "Pisum sativum (pea) long non-coding RNA (PSAT_LNC036830)". The record is from RNAcentral. Lineage: Eukaryota; Viridiplantae; Streptophyta; Magnoliopsida; Fabales; Fabaceae.
CCUACUAGUUAUAUAUAACCCCUACUAUUAUAUAUAAACCCUACUAGGGUCAUAACCCCUACUAGUAUAUAUAACUCCAACUAAUUUUAUAGAACCCGAUAAGAACACUAGCCACAGGGACUACAGUCAACAAGAGGGAAGUGAAGCUACUGCAAGCCAGACCAACAAGAAGUCCAAGACACCACAAAAACCCUACUAUUGUUUUAAUAAAUUUAUUAAAAAAACUUAUAAUUUCAAUUUUUUAGAAGGGCUUAUAAUUUGGAACUAAAAUAAUCGUAAUUAAGAGUAGUGUAUAUUAUUUUUUAUAAAGAAAUUAGGAUAGUUAUGAUGUUGUCUACCACCAAAGAUACAUGUCUCUUUCCAGUAAGAGACAAAUUACAAAGGUGAGGAAGUAAAAUUGAACAAAAAAAAAAGAUAUUUAAAGACUACCAACAGUCUUCGGGGCAAAGGUUGAGGAAGCAAUGGAGGUAAAAAUAUAUUUAAAGACAUCUAACCAAUGUCAAGACAACAAGACUGAUACAAUACAAAUAAGAACAUACAGGAUCAUAACAACAACCAGUGAUAAAUGAACCCCAAAGUAAAAUUGACCUGAGUUAGAAAUGUUUGUUGCAAAUCUUACAACAGCAUUUGAGGCAACUCAGACUCAACCAAACCUUGCAUAAACUGUUACAACAGCUCAACGUAUACUUGAUACAUCAACUCAGAGUAUACAUGUUACAUCAGCUCAUAGUGCAUUGGUUACAUCUUCACAGACUAACUUUGAUAUAACAUUUUAUGCACAAGACUGUAUAUUGCUUGCACCUGUUCCAACAAUUGAUGAAGUACCUAUUACACCUGUUUCUACUACUCUUAGAGUUGUAAAAUCAAUUGAGUUUAUUAAACCAUUUGAUAAUGACUUAAACCUAUGGAUGUGUUGUUCCUGUUGCAUCUCUAAUAUUCUUUUUUUUUUUUGUAGAAGAAGAAGCCAAUCAAACCAAAAGUUCCAAGAAAAAUGGAGUUAAGGAAAAGUGAUAGGACAAAGGUCCUUAAAUGCAAAAAUCUCAAAGGAGAAGGAAGUGGUUCAUCACAACCUAUGGAUGUGUAGAAAUUAAGCAUUUUGUUAUGGUCCUGUCAUGAUGUACUUUAUUAUGGUUAUGUCAUGGUGUAUUUUGUUAUAGUUAUUUGUUAUGGUCCUGUCAUGAUGUACUUUAUUAUGGUUAUGUCAUGGUGUAUUUUGUUAUAGUUUGAUACUUUAUUAUGGUGUGUAUUUUUGUAUUUUGAGACAUUUGUAUGCCUAUUAACUUUAUGUUAUUUUAAGACAUGAACCAUCAUUGUGUUAUCUAUAUUGCCUAUAUAUACUAUAGUAUUAUGCAAACUAAUCACAAAUAUAUGGGGAUGACAUCAAAACAAAUCAUUAUGAAACAGUGAUGAAAUAUAAACAAAUCAUUAUGAAACAUGGAUGAAAACCAAAAUGCCACAAACAUAAAGGGACAUAUAUUAUUAAUUUCAAAUGUUCUUAUUCAAUCAAUAUUAAACAUUACAGAAACAACAUUAGACAAUUAUGCAUCUUCUAGGGACUAAAACAGAAAACAAAAUACAAACACCAUGAAUAUCAUUCUCGCUACUAUGACUGGUAAGCAAAGAACAGACACCAAGAUACAAUCAACAAAAGCUUAAACAAAUUGGCAUUCUUCCUUUAGUUUUCCAACUUCAAUUUCAUCUUAUCUUUUUUCUUAGCUUCAAAGCUUAAACAAAUUGGCAUUCUUCCUUUAGUUUUCCAACUUCAAUUUCAUCUUAUCUUUUUUCUUAGCUUCAAGGUCUUUAAUAAUGCAACCUAAUUCAUACACUACCUCUGCACAAGUGCAACCGACUGAAUUUUUGGAUUCAUUUCAUAUGUUGCAUUCUAGUUCAUCAUCCCAUAUGAAUCGCUUGCAACUUGACACACCCGAAUUUGAACAUUUCCAUAAUCGUCGUUUAGGAUUUUUAAUUGAAUUUGACAUAAACAUCCUCAUUGCUCUAUUGCAACCACAAAUUGGGUUUUGAGACUCCGAGUAAAGCUACUGAUGAUGUUGCCAUGGAUGAAUGUGCAACAACCUUAACACUAAUGCAGUCUGAUGAGGAAGAAUUUUCAAAAUAUGAUUUGAAGAGAUGAAGAAGAUGAAGAAUUUGGAAAAUACAUUUUUGAAUUUAGUCCUCCCUUUUAACCUCCACCACUAAGGAUUCCACGUUUGUAAUUUAUUAAACAAAAGAACAUAUAAAUUCAUUUCCACGUCAGCACCGGUAAACAUCUCAAUAAUUUUUAACAGACUUCUAAUAUUAGGGACUAACUCAAUCAAAAAAGUGAGAUAUAGGAACUCUGACAAAAAAAAAGAUUUAGGAACAAGCAGGGACACCAGGUAUACUUAGGUCACACUAUUAAGAGGGAUUUGGAUUGAAAUGGUUUGUAAUUAGGCACAAUUUAUUUAUGAUAUGACAUUAUGAUAUGAUGAUGUUGCUUAUUCCAUGUAUACGACUCAGCGAGAGAAGAGUCUGGUGGUGAUGGUGGUUGUUAUCAAUUACACUUCUUCUUGUGGGUAUUAGGGUAUAAAGAAUGUUAUGAUAGGAGUAAAACUGUUAGGUAGAAAAUCAGGGCAACACUGUUGUGGAAAAGAUGGUGGAGUUGUAUAUUGGUUGGUUUAUUUGGGUAUGUGGGGAGAAGACUCGUAGAAACAUUAGUGUGGAGAGUAAAUUAGAUGAAGGAUCAUACAAAAAUUAGAUGAAGUUGCAUAUUGGUUGAUUCUAAAUGGUUAGUCUUUGAACACAGUUCAUUAUAUGACAUUAUGAUCAUGAUGCUGCUUAGCCCGACUAUGUGCAAAAAGAUUGUGGUGGCGGUGGUUAUUGAUGUCAAAAAACUUCUCCUCGUGACUUUCUCAACAUUGAAUUGUUCUAACAUUGUUAUAUAUGAUAGAUUGAUAGUAAUAUAAUUUCUUUGAAAAUUUCUAUUGAUGCAGAUUGAGUAUCCUGAGAUUGAAGACCUUGCAAAGCCUAGGCAUCGAUUUAUGUCCUCCUAUGAGCAGGUAAACUGUUAAGGCAAAGUUGUCAAAUUAUUUGUUGCAUGUAGGCCAUCUUUUAACAUUUCCGUUUUUGUGUGAUAGAGGGUGCAACCAUUUGAUAAAAGAUAUCAGUAUCUCUUGUUUGCAGCUGAACCAUAUGAAACAAUUUCUUUCAAGGUAAAUAAUUUCUCUAGUUUAUUAUUUAUCGUGUCUAAGUCCUCGAAUACGUUUGUUGAGCUGUGGAAGUUUAUUUGUUUGUACUUAUUAAUCUACAUUUUCAGGUCCCUAGCACAGAGAUUGACAAGUCCACGCCAAAGUUUUUCUCGCAUUGGGACCCAGAUUCCAAGAUGUUUACGGUCGGUACAUUUAAUCCUCUUAAAUAUCCAUGAUGUAAAAGUUUGUCCAUCCAAGUGUACAUAUGUUGUGUGAUUGUGAAAGUUAAUAAUUCAUGCAUAUGUAUCAUCCAAGCAAAACCAAAAACUUUUCAAAAGAAAAAGAAUGCUCACUGUGUUCUUGAAGAACUUUUUUNNNNNNNNNNNNNNNNNNNNNNNNNNNNNNNNNNNNNNNNNNNNNNNNNNNNNNNNNNNNNNNNNNNNNNNNNNNNNNNNNNNNNNNNNNNNNNNNNNNNNNNNNNNNNNNNNNNNNNNNNNNNNNNNNNNNNNNNNNNNNNNNNNNNNNNNNNNNNNNNNNNNNNNNNNNNNNNNNNNNNNNNNNNNNNNNNNNNNNNNNNNNNNNNNNNNNNNNNNNNNNNNNNNNNNNNNNNNNNNNNNNNNNNNNNNNNNNNNNNNNNNNNNNNNNNNNNNNNNNNNNNNNNNNNNNNNNNNNNNNNNNNNNNNNNNNNNNNNNNNNNNNNNNNNNNNNNNNNNNNNNNNNNNNNNNNNNNNNNNNNNNNNNNNNNNNNNNNNNNNNNNNNNNNNNNNNNNNNNNNNNNNNNNNNNNNNNNNNNNNNNNNNNNNNNNNNNNNNNNNNNNNNNNNNNNNNNNNNNNNNNNNNNNNNNNNNNNNNNNNNNNNNNNNNNNNNNNNNNNNNNNNNNNNNNNNNNNNNNNNNNNNNNNNNNNNNNNNNNNNNNNNNNNNNNNNNNNNNNNNNNNNNNNNNNNNNNNNNNNNNNNNNNNNNNNNNNNNNNNNNNNNNNNNNNNNNNNNNNNNNNNNNNNNNNNNNNNNNNNNNNNNNNNNNNNNNNNNNNNNNNNNNNNNNNNNNNNNNNNNNNNNNNGUGUGAUUUAUCUGGAUAUUUCUUUUACACGUAACAAUUUAUGUUUUUUCAUGUGUACACAUGUUAGAGGUAAAAAACAUGAACAAUCUAUUCAUGUAACUUUGGUGCUUUUAUAAUUUAAAUCUUUUGAAGACGAAGUCUAUGAACUGAGCUGUGAUCAUAUUGACACAAUAAUUGAUUCACAGUUUACCUUUCCUUCAAAUCGACAUAUAAUACAAUUGAAGUUCAAAACAACUUUGGUUGAUGAAGAUUGAUGCCAAAAUAUUUAAGUAAGCAAAUAAUGAUAAAGCAACAAUGUUAUUACAUUAAUUAUAUCACGGAUGCCUAUGGAUGAUUCUUGUGCUACGGUACAAACCAAAACAUUUCCAUCAAUACCUUGGGAUUGGGAGAAACCACAUUAGUGAAAGAUGGUCAACAUAAAACAUUAAAUACCAAAAAACAACUUGAUACUGCAAAUCAAAUGUUAUAAAUUGUAAGUUGCAAAAAAUGAGAUGCAAUAAACAAAUGUAUUGCCCAAUUUGGGUAUUGUUUUAUGAAAACUAGCAUCUGACAUAACAAAUAUACUGAGGACCCAGGGAUAAAGCGCGUCCAACUACAACUAUUUAACCACACGAUACUGAAUCAGACAUUACUGUUGCCCAUGCGGACUGGGCUUAUCGUCAUGUGUGGCCAAUUGGCGGAAAAACAAGCAUGGCCCAGUCUUGCAUUUGCUUGGCCUGGAAAAACCUUGCGGAAGGUGGCAUUGAUGGAGGAUUUUCCUCUUUCUUUUUUUAGCAUAUAGUAAAACAUUGAAAAGUAGGAAUAAUUUAAUUUAGAUUGAUCCAAUCUAAAAAUUGUUUAAAUGACAAUGUACAAAAGCAAGCAAUUGCUUUUAUUCUUAUGCAUAACUCUAAUACAUUACACAACUCAAUGCAUUAUGCACCAUUAGGAACACAAUAUCAUCAUAUGCUCAUACAUAUAUGAAAAUGGUGUCUGCAAAGGUGGUACAAAGAUAGCUAAUUUUCUAUAAAAGUUCAGAACAAAAACUGAUAAGAUAAGAAAACAUAGAAAAAGCAGAUGCUUCUUAUUCGCGAGCAACAACAAGCACUUGUUUACCAACAUUGCGACCACUAAAAAGGCCAACCAAAGUUGCAGGACCAUUCUCAAGACCCUCAGCUAUAUCUUCCAUAUACACAAUUUUCUCCUCUCUAAUAUGAGGGAGGACAAACUCCAAGAAUUUCGGAUAUAGGUGAAAGAAAUCAGCACUGUUAAAACCUUCCAUUCGAAUCCGCUUAUAUAUGAUAUGUGCCAAAUUCGUUACACCUUCAGGUUGAGUAAGAUUAUACUGUGAAAUCAUUCCACAUGCAGGUAUGCGGUCAUGAACUCUCAUAUUCAAUAGUACAGCAUCAAGUGUCUUUCCUCCAACAUUCUCAAAGUAAAUACCAAUGCCUUCAGGAAAGUACCUGAUUUGUAUAUUGCCAUACAUUAGUCAAUAAUCACUACUCAAAGCACAACAAGUAACACCUAAAACUUUCUAUUACCAAACUCCUAAAUACUGAAUACAAACCUUUUCAAAACUGCAUUGAGGUCAGGCUCUUCCUUGUAAUUGAAACCUUCAUCAAAUCCAAAUUUGUUCUUCAACAUAUCCACCUGAUUGUAAGACAUGCAUUCAAUCAAAUUGACUAAAAGAAACUCCUCGUAGCAAGGAAUAAGUGAUCGUGAUUUUACAUUCAUUUUUGUAGAUAGAAAAAAUUGUUCGCAUAUUAGAUGUUAUGUUAAUACUUUCUUUUUCGUCAAACUAGUUCAACUACCUAACUCGCGUAUGUGAUGGUGAUUCAUGAAAUAACAUAAAACUCAAACUAUUACAAUAGUACCUUCUCCUUACUUCCAGCACUUCCAACGACAUAACAACCAUGCAAUUUAGCGAAUUGUCCGACAAGUUGUUCAACUGCACCAGAUGCAGCCGAAACAAAGACAUUCUCUCCUUUCUUAGGAGUGCCUAAUUCAAAGAAACCUCCAUAAGCAGUUAUUCCUGGCAUACCUGCUCUCAGAGAAAAACACAAGCAUAAUGUCAAAUAAAAGAACAACAGAAUGACAGAAAACUACGCGACCAACAUCAAUAUAAAUUGAAAUUGUUGAAUACAUAUCGAGAAUCCGGUGUAGUAGGAUAGUGGAACAUCAGUGUGCUCAAUUUUGAAAAAGUAUUUGAGUUGAAGGACUAAACUGUUCUCUUCCCAUUUAGAGAAUCCCCACACUAAAUCACCUCCUUGUAAUCAGGAUUUCCAGAUUCAGGACUUUAGACACCCCAAACCUGCUAUUACUGUAAUUACUCAAUAGAUCAUCACAAACUAUCAAACAAGUUGAUCCAUGAAGAUUAUAAUUUACACAUAAAAAACCUACUUUUAUGAUCAAAUUUGACAUAUACUCAAAAGGGUUAUCCGCAAAAGCAUUAACUUUACCGACUGAGGGGUGUAGGAAAAAGGACUAGGAGUUCCUUGUGUUUUGUUCAUGAGAUUCCGCAUGUAUGGAUCACAAGACAAGUAGAGAUUUUUGAGAAGAACAUCGCUGGAACCUUCUGGAAGCUUGAGAGUAAUGGUACUGUCAACUAUGUUCAUGUCUUAUUCUUUAGGAAAACCAGACACAUAGUCCUUCAGAAUCACUUGCUUGUUCCUCACUUGUGCCAUGUUUGGAAUUAUUUCAGUUCAUUCAGUUUACAAUAGAAAAGUGAUGAAUAUGGAGGGUAAGUUAAGCAUAACUAAAAAAGUGAGAUCAUCAUGUUGAAAAGUUCAAGGAAUGAAUGAAUGGUAGAAAGUAGUAACAUGAUAAUAUUAUUAGUAAUAAUUCAUUUCAAUUUACAUUUAAGUUUAAUUUAGUUUGUAUUUGAAUUUGCAUUUUGCUCUGACUAGUAUAUAAAUCAAACGUGGUUUUAGUUUGUAAUAGAAUUUGAUUCAUAACAAAAUUUCAAAAAAUUUGUUAGAAACUUUUUUCUCUCUUUUAUCUCUCUUCCAUCUUCAUCAUCUUUCCCUUCUUUCUCUUGUGCACCAACAAUUGGUAUCAGAGCAUGGUUCAGAUCCACAGGAAACUCCCAGGGAAACACGAGUGAACGUGAGAUGCGUGUGAUUGAUUUCGUUUCUUGAAUUCGCGUUGAACUUACGAUCGGAAUCGUAAUAGAAUCACAUUUCUUGAUUCUAAGGAAUUGAGAAACACAAGUGUUUGGUGAGGUCUGAGUGAUUUCUUGCACAAGAAUGACGAUGAACGGUGGAAACAGUAGCUUAAAUACGAAACUUCCAGUAUUUGAUGGAAAAACUGAAAUUGGUGGACGAUUCAGAUGCGGGUGUUGUUUGGCACUCAAGAUGUUCUUGAUCUCGUCAAUCACAGUUAUGCGUGAUUGUAGCGGAUGUAAUUGAGGCAAAAAGGAACACAUAUAGAGAGUUGAGGAAGAAAGAUCAGAAAGCUCUGUUAUACAUCCAUCGGUGUGUGGAUGUGAAUGUGUUUGAGAAGAUCGUUGAUUCGACAGCGACGAAGGCUGCGUGGGACACACUGGUAGCGUGCUACGACGAUGAUGUAUUAGUGAAGAAGAUGAAAUUCCAGCCUCUAUGUAAGAAGUAUGAGAAUCUCAACAUUGAGAACAAUGAUAAGGUACCAGAUUAUAUCUCUAGAGUAAUUCUGAUCACAAAUGAGAUGAAAUCUUGUGGAAAGACUCUUUCUGAACAAGUAAUAAUUGAAAAGAUAUAGAGUAAUUCUGAUCACAAAUGAGAUGAAAUCUUGUGGAAAGACUCUUUCUGAACAAGUAAUAAUUGAAAAGAUACCGAGAUCACUUACUCAUCAGUUUGAUUAUAUUAUUAUAGCAAUUGAACAUUCUAAGGAUCUGAGCAUCAUGAGAAUUGAAGAGCUGCAAAGCAGUCUAGAGGCACAAGACUUGCGUAUGACAAAGAGAAUCUCCGAAAGAGAAAUAGAGCAGACUCCGAAGGCAUCUUCUAGUAAGAAGAAUCAGAAGCAAUCUUGGUAGACCAAGAAGAGACAUGGUGGUGGUUAUCAGAAGUCAGAAGUCUCUAACUCUGAUGAGAAGAAACAUCAAAAGGGAAAUGAGAAGUUUGACAAGAAGAAGGUUCAAUGUUACUGCUGUAAUAAGUUUGGUCACUUUGCUGCUGACUGUUGGUCAAACAAGGAAAGGAAAUCAGAAAAAGAAAACAUAGCCAGAUGAGAGUCUGAUGAUGAACCUAUGCUAUUGAUGACAUUUGAGUAUGAUGGUGGAUAUUUGAUAGACUGAUGGUAUAUUGACAUUGACUGCGAAAAUGAUCUAACUGUAAACAAAUAAUGAAUGAUUAAUUUUGACUCUAGAAAGAGGACAAAAAUCAGGCAUAUUGAUGAUAAGUAUCUGAAUGCUGAAGGAAUGAGAAAUGUCAAGGUCAAAGUGAAAAAUGACAAAACUGUUCUGAUCAAGAAUGUUUGGAAUGUUUCUGGCAUGAAGAGAAAUCUGAUGAGUGUAGGUCAGCUAAUUGAGAAAUAUUUCUCAAUUAUUAGGAAGAAGAAUCUCUUGAAGUUGUAUGAUUCUGAUCAGAAGCUGAUUAUGCAGUCUGAACAGGGAAGCAACAAAACAUUUAAGAUGAAUAUGGAAAUAGCUGAAACUAAGUGCCUUAGUGCAGAAGAUACUGAAGGUGAUAGUGAGUCGUGGCACAAGAGAUUAAGGCAUCUGAACUUCAGAAGCUUAUGACAUUUGAGUUGUAAGAAGCUGGUACAUGGUAUUCCUAAAAUUGUGAAGCCUAAGAAGUCAUGUGAGAUAUUCAUGAAGGGUAAACAACCUAGAUUGUCAUUUGCAUCAGAAGUAGCUCAAAGAGAAACAUAUGCUUUGAGAGUAGUGCAUUCUGAUGUAUGUGGACAAUUUGAAGUACCUUCACUUGGAGGAAACAGGUACUUUGUGUCAUUUGUAGAUGAUUUCAAAAGAAUGUGUAACACAGAUCAAGUUUAAGCAUGAGGUGUUUGGUGAGUUUCAGAAGUUCAAGGUGAAGACUGAAAAACAAAGUGGUCAUAAGUUGAAAAUUAUCAGAAAUGAUGUGGAGGUGAGUAUAACUCUACAGAGUUCAUAAGGUUCUGUGAGGAGAAUGGAAUUGAGCACUAGGUUACUGCUCCAUACACUCCUCAGCAUAAUGGUCUUGAUGAACGAAGAAAUAUAACUUUACUUGAUAUGACUAGGAGUAUGAUGAAGGAGAAAAAUCUCCCUCACACCUUGUGGGGAGAAGUUGUUGCCACUGCAACAUAUGUGCUAAACAUGUGUCUAACUAAGAAGCUGAAGGAAAUUGUUCCUUUGGAGAAGUGGACUGGAAGGUGUUCGGUUCUGUUUAUUAUAAACAUGUCCCAGAUGCUAAAAGAGGAAGUUGGAUGACAUAAGUAGAGUCAUGGUGCUUGUAGGUUGCUAUAGUACAUUUGCUUAUAAGCUUUACUGUCAUGUCACUAAAAAAGUUGAAUUCAGUGAAGAUGUCAAUGUGAAAGAAUCAGGAGCAUAGGAUUGGAACAAGUCUUAAUUCAAUUAUGGUGUAGUGUCAACGCCUGAGUUAAUUUAUGAAGACCUUUAAGAUUUUGAAGGAGAAUCUUCCUCUGAAGGAAAUUUUGAGUUUGAAGAUGAGUCAGAGUCUGAAGUGACUCUGAUGUUGAAGAAGAGUCUGACAGAGAAUCUGACUCUGAAGGUGAAUUUGAUUAAGAUCUAGAUUCUGAUGACGAUCCAAACUCUUGUGGUAAUCAUGCCUCUAAUGAUGGUCCAACCUCUGAAGAUGGUUCAGGCUCUGAAGCUAGUCCAAUAUCUGAUAUUGUUCCAGCAUCUUAAAAAGAUUAUGAACAAGUUCAGAGACCACAAAGAAUCAGACAAAUACCAAGAAGAUUUGCAGAGUUUGACAUGUUACUGGAUACUGAGGUAGACUUUGAAGGGAAAGUGAUUCAGUAUGCCAUGUUGGUAGACUCUGAACCAAUAAGUACAAAAGAAUCUCUCAAGAAGAAAGUAUGGAUGAAGGCCAUGUAAGAAGAAGUUGAGUCUAUAGAAAGAAAUGAGACUUGGGAGUUGAUUGAGCUUCCAAAGAAUAAGAAACCCAUCAACGUCAGAUGGGUUUGCAAGGUGAAACUAAAUCCAAAUGGAUCAAUUGGAAAACACAAAGCAAGGUUAGUAGCUAGAGGAUUUCUACAGAAAUCUGGACUAAAUUUCUUUUAGGUGUUUUCUCAUGUGGCUAGACAUGAAACGACCAAAUUGGUGAUUGACAUAACUGCUAAUAGAAAUUGUCCUCUGAUACAUCUGGAUGUGAAAUAUGCAUUUCUGAAUGGUCCAUUACAAGAAGUGGAAUACAUGUCACAACCUUCUAAAUUUGUGAAAAAGAAUCAGAAAUGGAUGGUGUACAAUUUACAUAAAGCCUUAUAUGGGCUUAAACAAGCUCAUAGAGCUUGGUAUAUGAAAAUUGAUUCAUUUUUUUAAGCUUCAAGGAGUCAAAAAAUGUGAGAUGGAGUAUGGUGUUUAUGUUCAACAUACAUCUGAUAGAAAUAUGAUAAUGGUGUGUCUCUAUGUUGAUGAUAUAUUGCUAACAAGGAGCUGUUUAGACGAGAUAGCUAAGUUCAAGAAGGUACUCUAAUAAGGGUAUCUCUUACAUCAGCUAAAGAUUAUGUACUCUAAUAAGGGUAUCAUCUUGCAUAAAGGUAUCUCAUCUAAACAACUCCCUGUUAGCAAUAUGUCAAUGCACUUAAGUCACUUAAUUAUUUUUUGACUCAUAAUCAACACUAAAAAAAAGGUACUCUAACAAGGGUAUCUCUUGCAUCAGAUAAAAGAUUAUGUACUCUAAUAAGGGUAUCUCAUCUAAACAACUUCCUGUUAGUAAUAUAUCAAUGAACUUAAGUCACUUAAUCUUCAUCCCUUCUUGAACUUAGCUAUCUCAUCUAAAUAAUAUGAGAGUACAUAUACUUGCAAUUCAUUAGCUCAAAUCUCUUCAAAAGCUCAAGUUUAUACUUUAGAUGAUGCAAAUUGAUACCCUUAUUAGAGUACAUGACCUUCCUCCCUAAAAAAUAUGUCAUAUUUCUUAGAUCAAUCAACAAUAUGUUAUCUAAUGGCUUAAGUGCAUUGACAUAAGUGCUGAUUAUGGGUAUCUCUUGACAUAAGACGAUACCCUUAUUAGAGUACAUAAUCUUCAUCCCUAAAAAAUAAGUCACUUAAUUCUUUUUAGAGUAUAUAAUCUUCUUCCUCCUGUGCACCAACAAAUAUCUCAAUGCACUUAAGUCACUUAAUUCUUUUUUGACUCACUAGAAUUAAAAUAAAUCUUAUGGCUUAGACUUAAUUCAAAUAUGAGUGAGUAAUUUUAUAUUAAUUAUUAAUGUACUAAAUAUUAAAUAUAUAAGAGAUGUAACUUAUUAAUUGAAUGACAUAAAAACACAAGAAAAUGAGUUUGAAUUCUGUUCAUACUUUAAAAAAAAUCCUUAUAUUUUUAAAAGAAACCAUAAGUCAAACAUGAAUGUCAAAUGCUAAGAUAUAAGAGGGGAGAAAUUGAUAGAGAGAAUUUAUUCUAGUUUACCUCAAAACUCAGAGUUACAUUAAUCCUCUCACAUAGAGAUAUUUUCACUAUAAUCUAACUGAUUACAAUAUCAUUUAGAUAUUUUUUGAUUUAUCUCAAAUUUAUCUUAGAUUCUUCAAAUACAAAGAAGUUACCCUAGUGGACCUCUUUGUCGUCUCAAAGAAUUUGGUUAACACUUAACCAUUUGAGAAUAUACAAUCAUAUAAACAAAUAAAUUUUAGUGUGUUACAAAUAUCAUUCAAAAGAGAAUGUAUGAAAAUAUAAAUACAAAUACAAAUGUUUGAAUCUUUCAAUAGAAAGCAUAUACAAUAAAAUCGUUUACUUGUUUCUUCAUUCAUUAUAUCUUUCCUAUAUUUUAACUCUUUAAGAAAUGAAAAAUCACAGAUAGUCAAGAUAGUCAAGCCAACAGACUCUCCAUGAGACAAUUGAAGUAAAAAAAAACGCCAUGUGACAAUGAUUUUUUCCAAAUUAGCAUCAAAUGCAAUCUCUUAAAUUACAUUAGAGUAACAUAUAAAUAUAUUUUAAAGUUUUAAAUAAUUAACCAAAGAAAAUUAUUUCCAAUUUACAUUAAAUACUAUUCUUUCUUUUUCCCCAUAUGGGAAAUGUAUUUGAGAAAGUGAUUAAAUAUUUUAUCUAACUAAAGUGCCAUAAAAAUAUAUAACAAAAUCAAGGAUAACUCAGAUGAUAAAUUUUUUUGGUUGAAUAAAGAUAAAUGACACAAGUCGAUUGAAGACAUUGAGAAUAUUAAAUCAAUAUAACAACAAAAAAUUAAAACAAUGUCUAUCCUAUAAGAUUAAAAAAAAAUUCUAGGACGAGGUGACCGAUGUUACAAAAAAUUAAAACAUUAUUAAAAAGUUUAUUUAGGACGAGGUGACUGAUGUGUUUCAUGUAAGCUAAAACAUUAUACUUGUCAAAAGAUAUAUAAUAUAUGACACUCCUAUGCUGAUAGGGAUGACUAGAUGCUUUAGUUUUUUUUAUGUGGUUUAGAGUUUAUUCAUAACGAUGACAAAUCCUAUUCAAUGGUAUUUUUGGCUAUGAAAAAAGCAAACUUUUGUGAGGUGAAAAACUCUAUAUUAUUGCUGAUAUUUCGCAUGUAUCUGAAUUAUUCUUUCUCAUGCUAGGGAUGAUGUAUUUAUAGAGCCUCGUGGGCCUCGAAUUAGGGUUUUUCGGAAAUGAUAACCGUCCAUUUAGUCACAGUAGUGAACCGCUGAAUCCUUAUUUUCUAGGAAGACACAAUUUAGUAUGUUGACUAUGAACUCUCUCUGAUCGAUACACGCCUUUUUCCAUAUUUCCCACAAUAGGGCAAGCAGGGGGAGUUUAAGGUAAGAUUGCCCCCAAUUGCGGGUGGUAGAAUGGUUUCACCCCUUACUGGCAACCAUAAUUUCUUUGCCUUUGGCAGGUCUUUAUAAAUAUAUCACUACACGCCCCUUAAGCAUAUAUGCUUGAUAAAAUGUGAAGUGCUUUAAUUGCUCAUCAGUCCCUCAAGUGAGAUCUUAGGUUGGAUCCUUCUUGAGGAGAAUUUAAGUCCAUAAGGAGAGAUUAUAUGUUGAGUCUGUCUGAUGAGAUUCUAAGCCCCUCAAACAAGGCAUUUAGAUGAGCCUAUUUGAUGGAAAUUUAAGUCCUUUAAGUGAGAUAAUACAUUGACCCUAUAUGAUGGAACACUAAGUCCCUCAGGCGAGGCGUCGAGUCUCUUGGGAAGGACUUCGGUCGAGAUCCUCGGGCAAGACUUUCAAGUUAAUUCUUUCGGGCCGAACUUUGGUUAAGUCCCUUAAGAGAGGCCCUAGGUUGAACCUCAUUCGAGGAGAUUCUAAGUCCCUCAAAAAAGGAGUUUAGACGAGCCUAUGUGAUGUGACUCUGAGUCCUUCAGGCAAGAUUAUGCAUUGAGUCUGUUUGAUGGGAACCAAGUCACUCAGGCAAGGAAUUUAGAUGAGCCUGAUAUUCUCUGUCCUUCAGGCGAGAUGUUGGGUCUCUCAGAAAAGAUUUUGGUCCAAACCCUCAGGCAAGACUCUUAGGCUAAGUCUCUUAGGCCAGACUUUGGUCUUCUUGAGGAGACUUCAAGUCCCUUAGGUGAGAUUAUAUGUUGAUCAUGUCUAAUGAGACUCUAAGUCUCUCAAGAGAGGUGUUUAGAUGAGCUAGUUUGAUAAGAUUCUAAGUCCAUCAAGCGAGAUUAUAUGCUCAGCCUGUCUGAUGGGGAAUUAAGUCCCUGAAGUAAGGCGUUUAGAUAAGCCCUGGAUUCUAAGUUCUUUAGGAGAGGUGUUGAGUUUCUCGGGGAAGACUUCAGUCCAAACCCUAAUGCAAGGAUUUUAGGUUAAGUUUCUCGGUCCAGACUUUGGUCGAGUCCAUCAAGCGAGUGUUGGAGAAUAGCCAUCCAAGGCGCAACGGAAUUUAAAAAUUUCUCCAUUUAGUGAUCCUUACGAAUGGGCAUGAUCAGUGAUAGAAUCGUUACCUCUUGUGGCGAUUCAAACCUUUGGUGCAGAUCGAUCUCUGAUAAUGAUCAACACCUUUGAUAGCAGAUCCACCGGCGAUACGAACGUUGACCGAUGACAACGUCUCUACUGCAGUCCCACGACGGAUUUUCAAAUCGCAGUGCUAGCUGGUUAUGAAUGAGCUUGCCCCGAGAAACUCACACCUCUCCUAAAGAACUUAGAAUCCAGGGCUUAUCUAAACGCCUUACUUCAGGGACUUAAUUCCCCAUCAGACAGGCUGAGCAUAUAAUCUCGCUUGAUGGACUUAGAAUCUUAUCAAACUAGCUCAUCUAAAACACCUCUCUUGAGAGACUUAGAGUCUCAUUAGACAUGAUCAACAUAUAAUCUCACCUAAGGGACUUGAAGUCUCCUCAAGAAGACCCAAAGUCUGGCCUAAGAGACUUAGCCUAAGAGUCUUGCCUGAGGGUUUGGACCAAAAUCUUUUUGAGAGACCCACAUCUCGCCUGAAGGACAGAGAAUAUCAGGCUCAUCUAAAUUCCUUGCCUGAGUGACUUGGUUCCCAUCAAACAGACUCAAUGCAUAAUCUUGCCUGAAGGACUCAGAGUCACAUCACAUAGGCUCGUCUAACACUUUUUUGAGGGACUUAGAAUCUCCUCGAAUGAGGUUCAACCUAGGGCCUCUCUUAAGGGACUUAACCAAAGUUCGGCCCGAAAGAAUUAACUUGAAAGUCUUGCCCGAGGAUCUCGACCGAAGUCCUUCCAAGAGACUCGACGCCUCGCCUGAGGGACUUAGUGUUCCAUCAAUAAUAGGGUCAAUGUAUUAUCUCACUUAAAGGACUUAAAUUUCCAUCAAAUAGGCUCAUCUAAAUGCCUUGUUUGAGGGGCUUAGAAUCUCAUCAGACAGACUCAACAUAUAAUCUCUCCUUAUGGACUUAAAUUCUCCUCAAGAAGGACUCCAACCUAAGAUCUCACUUGAGGGACUGAUGAGCAAUUAAAGCACUUCACAUUUUAUCAAGCUAUAUAGCUUAAGGGGCGUGUAGUGAUAUAUUUAUAAGACCUGCCAAAGGCAAAGAAAUUAUGGUUGCCAGUAAGGGGUGAACCAUUCUACCCACCCGCAAUUGGGGGCAAUCUUACCUUAACUCCCCUGCUUGCCCUAUGUGGGAAAUAUGGAAAAAGGCGUGUAUCGAUCAGAGGAGUUCAUAGUCAACAUACUAAUUGUGUCUUCCUAGAAAAUAAGGAUUCAGCGGUUCACUACUGUGACUAAAUGGACGGUUUCAUUUCCGAAAAAACCCUAAUUCGAGGCCCACGAGGCCUCUAUAAAUAAUCAUCCCUAGCAUGAGAAAGAAUAAUCAGAUACAUGCGAAAUAUCAGCAAUAAUAUAGAGUUUUUCACCUCACAAAAGUUUGCUUUUUUCAUAGCCAAAAUACCAUUGAAUAGGAUUUGUCAUCGUUAUGAAUAAACUCUAAACCACAUAAAAAAAACUAAAGCAUCUAGUCAUCCCUAUCAGCAUAGGAGUGUCAUAUAUUAUAUAUCUUUUGACAAGUAUAAUGUUUAGCUUACAUGAAACACUCAGUCACCUCGUCCUAAAUAACUUUUUAAUAAUGUUUUAAUUUUUUGUAACAUCGGUCACCUCGUCCUAGAUUUUUUUUAAUCUUAUAGGAUAGACAUUGUUUUAAUUUUUUGUUGUUAUCUUGAUUUAAUAUUCUCAAUGUCUUCAAUCGACUUGUGUCAUUUAUCUUUUUCAACCAAAAAAAUUAUCAUCUGAGUUAUCCUUGAUUUUGUUAUAUAUUUUUUAUGGCACUUUAGUUAGAUAAAUAUUUAAUCACUUUCUCAAUACAUUUCCCAUAUGGGGAAAAAGAAAGAAUAGUAUUUAAUGUAAAUUGGAAAUAUUUUCUUUGGUUAAUUAUUUAAACUUUAAAAUAUAUUUAUUAUGUUACUCUAAUGUAAUUUAAGAGAUUGCAUUUGAUGCUAAUUUGGAAAAAAUCAUUGUCACAUGGCGUUUUUUUUUACUUCAAUUGUCUCAUGGAGAGUCUGUUGGCUUGACUAUCUUGACUAUCUGUGAUUUUUCAUUUCUUAAAGAGUUAAAAUAUAGGAAAGAUAUAAGAAUGAAGAAACAAGUAAACGAUUUUAUUGUAUAUGCUUUCUAUUGAAAGAUUCAAACAUUUGUAUUUGUAUUUAUAUUUCAUUACAUUCUCUUUUGAAUGAUAUUUGUAAACACACUAAAAUUUAUUUGUUUAUAUGAUUGUAUAUUCUCAAAUGUUAAGUUAACCAAUUCUUUGAGACGACAAGAGGUCCACUAGGGUAACUUCUUUGUAUUUGAAGAAUCUAAGAUAAAUUUGAGAUAAACAAAAAUAUCUAAAUGAUAUGUAAUCAGUUAGAUUAUAGUGAAAAUAUCUCUAUGUGAGAGGAUUAAUGUAACUCUGUUUUUGAGGUUAAACUAGAAUAAAUUCUCUCUAUCAAUUUCUCCCCUCUUAUAUCUUAGCAUUUGACAUUCAUGUUUGACUUAUGGUUUCUUUUAAAAAUAUAAGGAUUUUUUUUAAAGUAUGAACAGAAUUCAAACUCAUUUUCUUGUGUUUUUAUGUCAUUCAAUUAAUAAGUUACAUCUCUUAUAUAUUUAAUAUUUAGUACAUUAUAAUUAAUAUAAAAUUACUCAUCAUAUUUGAAUUAAGUCUAAGCAAUAAGAUUUAUUUUAAUUCUAGUGAGUCAAAAGAUUAGUGACUUAAGUGCAUUGAGAUAUUUGUUGCGUCACAGGAGGAAGAAGAAUUAUAUACCUAAAAAGAUUAAGUGACUUAUUUUUUAGGGUGAAGAUUAUGUAUCUAAUAAGGUAUCGUCUUAUGUCAAGAGAUACCCAUAAUCAGCACUUAUGUCAAUGCACUUAAGCCAUUAGAUAACAUAUUGUUGAUUGAUCUAAAAAAUAUGACAUAUUUUUUAGGGAGAGGUCAUGUACUCUAAAUAGGGUAUCAAUUUGCAUCAUCUAAGUAUAACUUGAGCUUUUGAAGAGAUUUGAGCUAAUGAAUUGCAAGUAUAUGUACUCUCAUAUUAUUUAGAUGAGAUAGCUAGUUCAAGAAGGGAUGAAGAUUAAGUGACUUAAGUUCAUUGAUAUAUUACUAACAGGAAGUGUUUAGAUGAGAUACCCUUAUUAGAGUACAUAAUCUUUUAUCUGAUGCAAGAGAUACCCUUGUUUUAGAGUACCUUUUUUUAGUGUUGAUUAUGAGUCAAAAAUAAUUAAGUGACUUAAGUGCAUUGACAUAUUGCUAACAGGGAGUUGUUUAGACUCAGAUACCUUUAUGCAAGAUGAUACCCUUAUUAGAGUACAUAAUCUUUAGCUGAUGUAGAGAUACCUUAUUAGAGUACCUUCUGAACUUAGCUAUCUCGUCUAAACAGCUCCUUGUUAGCAUUAUAUCAUCAACAUAAGACACACACCAUUAUCAUAUUUCUAUCAGAUGUAUGUUUAAACUAAACACCAAUNCCCACUUCACACUAAAGCUCGACUACGGAUACUUUAAGAACAAUGUCCUUAUGUUUAAUGUGUUCUCAUGAUUAAGUCACACUUAAUACAUUAAACGGACUAUCUGUUCCAGGGACUUUAUUAAUCAACCAUAAUAAAGAAAAUGCCUUUUAUUAUUAAUAAAUAAUUUGAUACAAGUACCAAAAGUAUUGGCCUCUAGGGCUUACACCAACAGCGAGACCUUAGGCUGGAUCCUUCUUGAGUAGAGUUCAAGUCUCUCAAGUAUGAUUAUAUGUUGAACCUGUCCCAUUAGACUCUAAGUCCCUCAGGCGAGGCGUUUAAAUUAGUCAAUUUGAUGGGACUCUAAGUUCUUCAGGCGAAACUUUUAGAUAUUUUUGAGAUUCUAAGUCCUUCAUGUAAGAUGUUGAGUCUCUCAGGUAAGACUUUGGUUCAAACCCUCAAGCAAGACUUUUAGGUUAAAUCUCUUAGGCCAUAUUUUGGUUGAGUCCCUCAGGCGAGACCUUAGGAUGGAUACUCCCUGAGGAGACUUCAAGUUCCUCAAGCGAUAUUAUAUGUUAAGUCUGUCUGAUGAGACUCUAAGUCUCUUAUGUGAGGAGUUUAGAUGAACCUGUUUGAUGGGACUCUAAGUCCUUUAGGAGAAAUUAUACGAUGAGUUUAUAUGAUAGGAAGCUAAGUCUCUUAAGCAAGGUGUUUAUAUGAGGUAUCCCCUAGUGUGUAGCCCAUUAGUAUUACCCUAAAGGCGACACAGAUCUUCUUGUGGAAAUCCAACAUGUUUUUAUUGCCUUGAGAGGCGGUAAGGAUCUUACUGUAGAAUUCCAAUGUAUUGUAUUUCCUUGAGAGGCGCUAAGUAAGGGUAGAUAAAUGGGCCCGACCUGUCGGACAUAACCAUUUUCCCGCACUUUUUCGCAAGACGGAUCAAGUUUUUAAGCCUACACCCUUUAAUGUGCCCGCCCCGCCCCAUUUUUUACGGGCAUUUAUGGGCACAAACGUUUACAUAAAAUUUUGUAAUUUUUAGGCCUAAAAAGUUCAAAGCCCGCGGACCCACCCCACCCUCAAUUUUAUGCGGGGCAUUUUAGGCCCACACCACGCCGCCCCAUUUUUUAUGGGCUUUUGAGGGGCGAGCCUUAACGGGGAUGUCAUGCCCGUUUUCCAUAUUUAGCGGCAAGGAUAUUCAUGUGGAAGUCCACCAUAUUCGUAUUUCCUUAAGUGGUAGCAAGAAUAUUCCCGUGGAAGUCAAGCAUGUAUGGUAGUGGAAACUGAAACAUUCUCAUUGGUCAUAAACAUUCAAAAGUUUGUUAAUAGGUGGGUGGCAUGCCUCCUAUGAAAAUUCAUAAAUAAAUAACUUAAUUAUAAUAAUAUUUUAAAAAAAUAGAGUUUCAAUUCUUGGGUAUGAGUCACCCAUCCAAUUCUUGUAGCUUAUAUACUCCAUGGGGCAGCUUCUAGAAUACACAAUAUGGUUCUUCCGAGUUGGGCUACAAUUUUCCCUGUUGCGUAGGAAGAACCACUUGUCACAGUACCAAGUCGCCUUAUGGAUUUCCCUUGGAAUUAAUUUAGAAUUAUAUCUUCUAAGCACUCUUUGUUUGGUGGUGAACUCCCGAAUAUGGGUGACACCUCUUGCUUCAUCGACCAAAUCAGCAAUGCACAUUGUCUAUGUGUCGUUCACUUCAUGGUCAAACUGAGAACAACAUCAUGAGGGCAUGCCGAUCUCUAUUAGAAAUAUAACAUCACCCUGUAUACCAUGGUGAAGGGAGUCUCCAUGGUGUGGUAGGACCAUAAAAUUUCUUGGAGUAGUUCAACCCACAACCCUUUGGCAUCGUCCAACUUCUUCUUGAUCCCUUUCAAGAUCACCUUGUUUGCCGAGUCUACUUUCCCAUUGGCUUGGGAAUGGAUUAAAUAGACAAACUUCAUUUGUACACCCAAUUCGUGGCAAAAGUCAGUGAUUAUGGUGCUGGGGAAUAAUGUGUCAUUGACGGAGACGAUGACGUCAAGCAGUCUGAAUUUACACAUGAUUUUAUGCCAAUAGAAACGAUAAACUAUUUCUACUGUAAUCUUGGCGAAGGCAUAUGCCUUUUAUCCACUUUUUAAAGUAGUCGACCCCCACGAUCAAGAAUUUUAGCUGCCCGGGGCCAGGGGGAAUCAACUUAGGAUGUUCACUCCCCACUGGUUAAAAGGCCUAGGCGAUAUCAUAGAAUGAAAGAGCUCAGUUAGGGAGGGAUGCAGGUUUGCAUGGUCAUAUUUCUUGAUAAACACCAAACUAUCUUUUAACAAGGUGGGCCAAUAAUAGUCUACUAUAAGCAAUUUUUUGGCGAGAGCCUUGCUGCCAAUGUGCUACCACAUGCUCCUUGAUAAAAUUCAACGAGGACUAAGAAGGCUUCAUGCUCCUCUAGACACUGUAGCAUUAGAGAUACUAUUCCCAUCUUAUAGAGUUUUCUCACCCAAAGAUUAUAUUUAGUGGCUUGAUUCUGGACCUUCUUCACCUCCCUUUCAACUUGAGGGAGUUUGUCCCCUAGUAGAUAUCACUGUAUGAGCGACAUACAACUUAACUUGGGAGGCGACUUAUAGGGUGCAAAUCUCGUCCACCUCGAUACUGGCUGAGGCUAGGGCCUCUUGUAUUACUAUCCAACUGUACCUUGAUAUCUUCGAGCUAGCGAUUUUGGACAGAAGGUCUGCUAUGAAGUUUUGCUCACUGGGCAUGUGUUUUACUUUACAAGAUUUAAAGCAUGUUGGUAAGUUUCGUACCUUAUGGAGAUAUUUUAGGAGUUAUGGUUAUUUUUCCUGGUACUCCCCGACGACAUUGGCGAUUAGAUGGGAAUAACUUUUUCCAUUCAACCUAAAGGCACCCAUUUUCAGGGAAAGAAUUAUACCAGCGAUGAAAGCUUCUUAUUCGGCCUGAUUAUUGCUAGCUUUGAAUUCAAACUUUAAUUCCUUUUUGAUUAGCAUGUCUCCUGGACCUUCUAACACUACCCCAACACCUAUCCAUUUCAAAUUUGAGGCAUUAUCGAAUGAAAACAUCCAUUAUUAGGGCACCUCUUCAUCUACUAGCAAGGUGAACUUCGCCAAAAAAUUCUUCCUGACCUUGGGACUCGAUGCUUCCCCUUGGGACAUUUUAUGGCCUUGAAAAUAGGACAAAAGCUUCCUCGCCAUGAUGACGACAAACAUAGAUAAAUUCUUAAUCUUCUGAUAACGUUUAUGGGCGCCUUUUAAUACUUUUCUUCCAAAAUACAUGGGAUGCUCUACCUUAUCUAUCUCUCGGAUGAGUACUAAACUCAUCACCUAAUCUGGGAGUGAAAGGUAUAGGAGCAAAUGUGACCACUCUUUUGGGUGAGUUAGGAUAAGCAACGAUGUGAGGAAGGCAUUUACUCUUGAGAUUUCCUUAUCAUAUUCCCCUAUCCAAUCGAGAUUGUUCAUCUUUUUUUGGGCGACGAAGAACAUAAAAUCCUUGUUGCCCGCACAAGAGAGGAAGUGAGAUAAAGCUGAAAGGCGACUCAUUAUAUGCUGCACCUCUCUAAUGUUAGUGGGGCUUCUCAAGCCAAUAACGUCCGGACACUUAUUUGGGUUUGCCUUAAUGCCCUAUUUGUUAGCUGAUAAAUGGUUUUCGCACUGUCUUUACUAGUUGUUUUACCUUAGUAUUUUAUUGUUUUUGUCCGAUUGGUUUCUGAGUAUCAUAUUUUAUGCGUUUGGUAGUAUAUUUUCUGUUUUCAAGGUUUAAUAAGUACUUGAGGUGAAAAAGGACAAAAAAAGAGCAAAGCACAGGAAAAUGUCAAAAGUCAGAAAAUCCUCAUACAAAAUCCAAAGAGCUGCUACGGCCACCUGUAGCAGCCAAGCCAUAAAAACACAGGAAAAUGUCAAAAGUCAGAAAAUCCUCAUACAAAAUCCAAAGAGCUGCUACGGCCACCUGUAGCAGCCAAGCCAUAAAAGCCCAUCCCUUUUGAUUCUCUAGUAGAAGAUUAGAGGUCUGCUAUGUUAGAACAAGAUUUGGUUAUGCAUAUAUACCUUGAGUUUGGAUGAUAACAAUAUUGUAUUUGUGUGAGAAAAUUUCCGGUACCGUAAUUGUUUGUUAUUGUCUAGCUCUAACAAUCGGUUCUGAUUCUGGAUAUAUGAUGUGCAACAUCAUCAGUUUCUGAACUAUGUGUUCCAAAUCCGCUUCUGCGCCUACUGUUAGAUGUUUUGAAAGAUGUUAAUAUUGUUGCUACAAUGUUCUUUCUGCUUCUAUGUUAUUUCACUCAUUAGAAACUUCUGAGAAGACAUUAUGUUGCUGUUGCAAUGUUCUCUCAGUUCAUGCUUCUGGAUGUGACUCUGAUAACCUAACUUCUGAAGAACAACAAGCUUAUGAAGUUGUAUUAUGUAGUUUAAGGUUUUGAAGAUCUCAAGACAGACGAUUGAAGUUAUCAAGGUUCUGACUGAGGAUUCUGAAGACUCUGAAGACCUUAAGCCAGACUACUGACGCCGUCUAGGUUCUGACCCAAGGUUCUGAAGUUUCUUAAUCCAAAUCUCUAUUUCUUUAUUUCAUGCUUCAAUCAACUUUCAUCAAACACCAAUGAACUUCAAGAUAAGAUCAAAAUGGAAACAUGAUCAAAUAAUACAUGGUACAAAACGAACAACCUUUCCACUACCUGAUUUCGCGGGCAAGAACAAUAUUAUACAUCACACCUCUCACUGAAUUUAUGGGCGAAAUGAUAGUAAGCAGUAUCAUUCCUUUCCCAUCCAAUAAUGGAAAUCCGCUCAAGGAGCUUUCCCUAUUUUUUCCUCCAACGGUCACAUGCUUAUGAUAUAUAAGCAUGCAUUGGAGACUUGAAGAAAACGUUGGUUGCACAAGUAUUACAAUGCAUAUGGUUAAAAUUUCUUUCAUCGUUGAAUCAAGAUUACAAUGUAACGAGCAUAGCAUAAUUAUACUAUUUUUCUUGGGACAUAUACCAAUAUCCACGAUAAAAACAUCCAGAAUAAUUAAUAAUGUGUAUACAAUUGAUUUAUAAAAGAAAAUAAAAAUCCAAAUAUACUUACGAAUUGAAAAAUUGUGAUAAGUAACAUUCUAUUUUCUCUUGAAUUAAUUUAUUUUAUAUGUAUGUCUGGACACUGAUUGGUCCAUGUUGUUGAAGUUGAAUAUUGAAUGAGUCUAAAAAACAAUACUUUAUUAAGUCUCUUUAUGCACACAUCUGAUGCAUGUGCCUAAAUAUUAACACAAAAGUCAAAUCUUGAUGCAAGUCUUGACAUUAAAAGUAUUUGAGAGGAAUGAAUAUAAACUGAAGUCAGCAUAAAAAAUGUAUUUACGUGCACCAUAAUUGUAGUAUGGUUAUAUCCAGCCAAUUAGUACACUGCAAAAUAUCCAAAAUACACCUAUUUCCAACUAUAUAAAAUAUUAACUUGAUUCAUGUUUUAAUGUUAUCUUGAAGGUGUCUCCUAUCUCCUCUACCACCCAUGACAAUCUUAACAUGUUAUCUAGUUGAGAUAUUGUGGUGUCAAUGUUGUGCUAUGGGACUGAACAUCCACCUUUCAUGCUUGCACCACCAAAAACAACUUUAUUAGCUUAACUGCAUAUACCCAUUUCACAUCAAUUGCCUUAUUCCCUUUUGAAAAUUUGACUAGUGACUAAGUAUCAUUGUCUUAUAUGGAUUUUAUCUCAUCCACCUUGACUAUUUCUAUGCUUUAACUGCAUCAACUGGCUUUGUAUAUGCAUAGAAGGUAUAAUAUAAUAACCCAACUUCAUCAUCGACCACAUCAUCUGAUGUGAUUACACAUUCCUGCAGUCUUUCAGAUAUGUUUCUGGUUCUCUGAGGUCUGUUUAUGCUAACUUGACCUUCGACGGCUUCUUGCUGAACUUCUCUAACAACUUCACUAUAUGGUUCAUCACACAUGAUUUUUACUGAAUCAUUCUUGAUGUUGUUAGUCCAAUCCCACUCCUUAAACUCAUCUACGAUCGCAUCCCUGUUGUUCACGAGUUGCUUGUGCACUGAGUCGAACAGUUUGUAUCCAUCAUUCGAAUAAUAUCCCACUAGGAUCAUCUGACUCGAUUUAUCAUCCAACUUUCUUGUUAGUUGAUCUAAAACAUGCAUAUGUGUUAUGGAUCUAAACACCUUCAAGUGGCUUAAACUAGGUUUGACACCAGAUCAACAUUCUUUUGGUGUAACACCUUUAAGCCUCUUUAUUAGGCAUCUAUUUAGUACGUACGUUGCAGUCGACACAGCUUCACCCCAUAGCUCAUUUGGGAGAUGCUUUCCUUUUAUCAUAUUUCUAACCAUAUUCUUAAUGGUUCCGUUCUUUCUUUCAGUAGUACCCAUUUGUUAAGGAGUGUAUGGUGGCACCACCUCAUAUUCAUAAUUCCUUAUUUUGUACAUAGUGUAUCAAAAUCUUUCGACACAUACUCUCCACCUCCAUCUAUCCUCAGAACCUUAAUCUUGUGACCACUUUGUCUUUCCACCAUUGUUUUGAACUUGGUGAAAACAUCGAUCACAUCACUUUUCGUCUUAAUUAAGUAGGUCAGCAUCUUUAUAUUGUAAUCAUCAAUAAAUAUAACAAAGUACUUAUUACCUCCAAGUGAAUCUACCUGGAGAGGACCACACACGUCUGAGUAGAUUAUGUCGAGAGUGGCUUUCGACUUGCUUCUUGCAUCCUUGAUGAAGUUAUUCUUAUGUUGCUUUUCUUGAACGCAUUCUUCACAUACUUCUUUUGGAUAUGGAUUUAUGGUAGGUCUGAAACCAUGUUCUUUCUCUUCAGAUUACUGAUGUCAUUAAAGUUCAAGUGACCAAGUCUAUAAUGCCAUAAUCAUUCAUUUAUACUAACUGCAGUCGCUAGGCACUUGUGUUCCAACACAUCAAGUUCAAUCCUGAAAGUUCCAUUCUGAGACACAAGAGCCUUCAAGAUUAACUUGUUACUUUAGUCGAUCACUCUCAUCAUUCUAUCUUCAAUAAAUACUUUGUAAUUCCUCUCAAUCAACUAACUUAUACUUAGCAAAUUACUCUCCAUGCCAGGUAUGUACAACACAUUAGAAAUUACUCAUUGUUUACCAUCCUUUCUCCUAAUCAGAACAUCAUCAAUACCUUCAGCAUAUAAGGUAUUAUCAUUUUGAAAAAUUUACCUUGUUCUUCAACGAGGGACUGAUGUUAAUAAACUAAUCUUUUCUUCCAUUCAUGUGUGACGAACAACCUGAGUUGAGAUACCAUUGAUCUUGGAAUUUUUAUUCUUCUUUUGUUGUGACCAUUAGCAUCAAUUCGUCUUCUGCAAGCUUUCAAUCACUUUCUUGAUAUUUCUUGCCUCCUCGACAUUGGCCUCCAUAAUGGCCACACUUUUAACAAUUGUAGCACUAAAUAUGAGUUUUAUCAAUCACCUAUUCCUCUACCCACACCACCACAUAUGUGAUUUACUUGGUUAGAAGAUUGUAUCUGAUUUGGUGAACUACCUUCUUGAUGAUUUCCUCUGCCUUUGCCUACAUUUCAUUUCAUUUGCCUUUCUUUUCUUUAGUCGACUGAGCCUGCGAAGCCAUAUCAGUCUUCGACUUGCUAGCAGUUGUUUCAGCCAUUCUUUGUUCGUGAGAUUCAAACAUCCUUUGAAGCUCUUCUUUUCUCUUACUUGACAAAACCUUCGAUUCUUAUAUGCCUACUACCACAUGAUCUAACUUUUGAUGUAACGAACUCAAAAUCUUUGACACUAUAGAUUUUGAUGUCAACACUUCUCCACAUUGAUUCACCAGUCUUGUUACUUUGGUGAAGAAAUCAGUCACAUUUUCAUUGUCUUCCAUCUUAAGCAAUUCAUACAUUCUUUUCUGAGUUUGUAACCUCACCUCCUUCACUUUCUCAGCGCCUCUAAGUGAUUUUUCCAGGAUGUUUUGUGAUUCCUUUGUUGAAUCAAAAUCACCAACUCUCUCAAAGUUGUCUGAAUCAAUACGUUGAUGGAUUAAAAAGAGAGCCUUAUAAUCCUUCUUAUUCAAAUCUUUGUGUGCAACCUUUUGUCCAUCAAUGAAAUUCUCUCUAAUUGGUGUUACUCCAUUCUUAUCAUUCAAGAUUUAAAGAUAUGUUGGAGAAUGCUUGUUCGGAUGAUUCAUCUUGAUUUAAUGUGUCCCAAAGAUCACAUAACCAACCAAUACGUUAUAUACCAGAUGUUAGAAAAACUCCAAUCUUGAAGUUAACCGAAUCAAUCUUGAUUAACAAGAAUCAAUCCUUCUGAUUGAUCACGCAUCUUGUUCUUCACCCUUUACUCAGGUUUUUACUCAAGUGAAAGAAUCACUCCUUAGUUGCAAGAUGAUUCUACACCACACAAAGAAUUGAAAGAAGAAAACAAGACAAUUGAAAGUAAGCGAAAAGAGAAAUUCUGGAGAAAGAAGAAUAAUGUAUUUUUGUGCAAACUGCACUCUAAAUAUUUGUUACAAUGUGUGUUGAUCACAAAUGUGAUUUCUAAAACUACACAGUACUAUUACAAAACUUGUUGUUCUCCCUUUCAAAUGAAAUAAAGCUCCUUUCUAUUUAUAGAUGAGAUUACUUGUACUCUAAAUAAUUACAAAGUAACUACUCAACUAAAACUAAAUUAAGUCAGUCUUCUUCGACUUUAUCGACUCCUUCGAAAGUUACAUGCUCCGGUUAGUUGUAUUUGACUUUCUGUCAAAUAUAGAUAAUACAGACUCUGUUCAACGCAUGCUAUUUCGACACACACUAAAACACCUUAUGACAGUCAUCGAAUACAAACACACUAUUUCGACUUCGACAUACAUAUUUAACCGAUGUCGGUGACCGUGAAUCUAAAGAAUUUUUUGCAAUAAACCCAAAUAGUGUAAUUUUUCAAAGUUCAGCCUUAUUUUGUACUUUCAGACCUAUAUGAUAAUGGUUGGUAGGUUCUUUGAGUGAGACUUAUCACCUCAGAUCUUAAUCAUCCCUUUUGAGCUCAAAGGGAAUUACUGGAAUUAGUAGUUCAGUCCAUUAGUCAUGAAAGUCAUUUUGAGGAGUCUUUCGAAUUCAACAUAAUCUAGUUUUGGCCUAAAUAGGCAUCCUGAAAAAUGAAGUGUCUUGCAAUCUAAAGUCCCAUCUAAUAACACAUUUGUGGUUGGCAGCAGAUAGGAAUACUUGGGCAUACCUUGUUCAGGUUUGUGCUGUGUGUGCAACCUUUGGAUUGAUGCCUGCCGAGCAUGUCAGUUGGACUCCAUGGAAGCAGGCCAGUGUUGUCAUAUGAGUUUUUGGAUCAAAGAGAUAAUGGGUGGAAAUCUUGGUGACUUUGACAUUCCCUUAGAUUUCAACCUCUUUCGUCUUAUCCAUAGGCCGUAUGUUCGUUUUCUUCCCUUAAGUGUACUAUAAAACUUUAUUAAAUUAUACACAAUUAGAGGUAACAGAGAAGCAUAUAACAGGCUUUAUUAAUCACAAGAUAUCACAUAAGCAAGCAAUUACAAUCAACACUAGAGAAGAGAAAUACUAUUGCAAAAGGCCAUCAUACAAAGAGAGCUUGUUAUUCAACACACACAAAAAUCAAAUGAAAGCAUCAGAGUUCACUCACGAGCAACAACAAGCACUUGUUUACCAACAUUCUGACCACUAAAUAUUCCCACCAAUGCUGCAGGUCCUUUCUCAAGUCCUUCAGCUAUGUCUUCAACAUACACAGCCUUCCCUUCUCUUACAUGAGGCAGGAUAAACUCCAAGAAUUUGGGAUACAGGUGAUGGAAAUCAGCUACAAUAAAACCCUGGAUACGAAUCCGCUUAUAUAUGAUAUGUGCCAAAUUGGUUAUGCCUUCAUGUUGCGUAAGAUUGUACUGUGAGAUCAUUCCGCACACAGGUAUGCGACCAUGGAUUCUCAUAUUCAAGAGCACAGCAUCGAGUGUCUUUCCUCCAACAUUCUCAAAGUAAAUGUCAAUGCCUUCGGGAAAGUAUCUAAUUUACAUAAGUUGAUAUCAGCUAGUUAUUAAUGUCUCAUGUUACAAAAUCUAUGAAGCACUAACAUAAAACUGAUGUAUAGACAAGUGAUUGAAUGUAAAUGCAAGUGACAGUGAUGUGUCGGAUGACACACCUUUAAUAUAAUAUCAAUGUCGCGUAAAUAACUAUACUAUUAAGUCGAAAAAACAAAGUGAAUUAUAAAUCUAUCACAAAGCCUUUAAAACAUACCUUUUCAAAGCUGCAUUGAGGUCUGGUUCUUCUUUGUAGUUAAAGGCUUCAUCGUAUCCAAAUUUAUUCUUCAACAGAUCCACCUUUUCUUUAGUUCCGGCACUUCCAACGACAUAGCAACCGUGCAAUUUAGCAAAUUGGCCAACAAGUUGACCAACAGCACCAGAGGCAGCUGAAACAAAAACAUUCUCUCCUUUCUUGGGAGUUCCCACUUCAAAGAAACCUGCAUACGCAGUAAGCCCUGGCGUACCUGUGCUCAGCGGAAAACACAAUAUAUGUUAAUAAGGCACAACUGAGUAGCAGAAAACUUAUACUGUGGAUGUUAUAAAUAUACAAAAGCUGUGAACUAUCAAUUCCAAAUAAGUACAGGGUUCAUUCAAUAUUGGUUCUCCUCCAAACCAAAGCAGGUCAAACAAAUAAUUUAGUGAAAAAAGAGUUAACUGCAUCCAUAAUAACCUGCAUUGAACAAAAGAAGAAAACAGAAAAACAAUGUCGGAUCAAAAAGCCAGACAACCCUCUUCCAAACUAUGUAGCACCAACACCACGGAUUGUACACAUGCUCAUUAAAUUGCUUCCAAAUUUGUAAAUCAAUAACUGUGUCAACAUAUCAAUGUCGUGUGCGGUGUCUCUGUCGUUGCUUCAUAAGUUUUGAAUGAAACUAAACACCGAAAGUAGUCUAUCACAUGAAAACAUCAUAACUUGAGUCUUGCAUAUCAUCCAAAAAUCAAAUGAAUUCUUCACUAAAAAUCAACAUAAAAAAAAAUGAAAUUGUUGAAAUACAUACCAAGAAUUCCAGUAUAGUAGGAAAGAGGAACAUCUGUAUGCUCAAUCUUGAAAAUUAUUUGAGCUGCAGGGAUCAAGCUGUACUCUUCCCAAUUAGUAACACCAUAGACCAAAUCACCUUCCUUAUAAUCUUUGUGUCCAGAUUCCAGAACUUUAGACACACCAUAACCAGCUAACGGCUGCAAUUACUAAAAACUUAUCAGUAGCAGCACAACACAAUUUCAAUUUUGCAACUUUGCAACACAAAUAUCAAUUUAGAGAUUAAAAAAACACACUUUAAGGCUCAAUUCUGCAUAUAAUGAAAAGGGUUUUACCCAGAAAAGGAUAUUGACUUACAGACUGAGGAGUAAAGGCACGAGAAGAGAGAGAGUCUUUUGGGUUGUUCAUGAGAUUCCGCAUGUAAGGAUCACACGACAAGUAGAGAUUUUUUAGCAGAACAACAUCGUUGGAACCUUCUGGAAUCUUUAGAGUUAUGGUACUGCUGAUGAUGUUCAGGUCUGAUUCUUUAGGAAAGCCAGAAACAUAAUCCUUCAGAAUGACUUGCUUGUUCUUAACUUCCGACAUGUUAGGUUCUUAACAAAAAUCAAUUCCCUAUUCUGAUAGAUUUAUAUUGAUUAUUAGGUAGUGAUCUAAAAUAUAAUAAUCCGAUGGCUUUAUGGAUGCAUGCAUAAUGCGUAUAGAUCACAAGAUAAGUGGAGAUUUUUUUGGAAGCAUGCCAUUGGAAUCUUUUAGAAGCUUUAAGAGAGUAAUGGAGUCCAAUUUUGCUUUGUUUAUCUUUCUUACUUUUUUUUAGAAGCUUUAAGAGUAAUGGAUCCAAUUUGCUUUGUUUAUCUUUCUUAAUGUGAUGUAGGAGCAUCUUUGUUAUACAUUUUUAAAAAAUGAUUCUUUUUAUAUUUUUUUAUUGAUUUUAAAAAAAUUGUUAUUAGAAUUGUAGAACUUAUUUUAAUAUUUUUUAUAAAUUAAAAAAGUAAUUAUGACAUUUAAUAACUUUAAUAUUAAGUAUGUAAUAUAUAUAGAGCAAAUGAGCUUAGAUCUGUUGAUGUUUAAUGGGCUCGAGCCAUUAUAGACAUACUCGUCUAUAUUUCUUCAAAUAUAAGAUACGUAGGAGUGGAGCGAUUAAAUAAGAUAUAUGAUAGUGUAUAUUCCUCAAACACAAAUCAUGUAGGAGCGAAGUGAUUAAGUAAUAUGUUUAACAAUUCAUAGCCCCUCAAGUACGGGGCUUAUAAGGGCGAAGUGAUGUGAAAGACGAGUUUGCAAAACCAGACAAAUUGAUUUUCUAAGUGAAAGGAUUUGAAAAACCCUUUGAACUUCGUUUUCAAAGCUGUGAUGAUUAAGUUUAUCUCAGGAAUGACCAUUCAAUAUGAGUCAUACAUUAACUUCCAUGUUUGGGAGUAAUGUCUUUGAUAAUUUGUCAUGCAAAUGCUAGAUAUUAGGCUAGAGAUGUGUACUUGUGAUUUAUAAAUAUUAGAACAUUUUCCUCCCUUUCGCAUCAUUCACUUGUCUAAUAUUCGCUUCUUCUUACAACUACUAUCUCUUGCUACUUAGUCCUUUGUGAAACUUAGUUCCCUUCUUAUGAUCACGAAAUUUAUGAUCACGAAGCUUAACUAAAUGUAUAUCCGUAUUCCCUUUUUAUGUUUUCCAUUUCAUAUUUAUAUAGGAUGGUAUUCAUUAGGGAUUGUGACGCAAGCGGUAAUGUAAUUGAGUCAAAUACUCACGAAGAUAUAUGAGAGUUAUGGUGUCGUUGUGUUGAGAGCUCAAGUCGAGUAUGCGAUAUACAAAAUUGGAACUUCGUUGAAACAAAGGUUUUUGGGAGUUACGAAAAUAGUUCUAGCAAUUUUGAUAGCGACGAAAGUAUAGAUAAUGACAUUAUUUUGGUAUCUUCUUUCCAAGGAUCAACAAGAUCUCUUAUGGGACUUCAAAUAGAAGAACAAUCACCUUUUGUAAAGAGGUGGUAAGUAUCAAUUUCUUGUAUAACAAUGAUGCUCUGAUAAAGUCUUUUUGCAAGGUCAUAUACAUAUCAAAUUCUAGAAACGAAGAUGAUGCCUUGUUGGCACUUUGCAAGGAAUGUGGGAAUGUAACACCUCAACUUUAGAAUAUUUCUUUUAAUUGAUUUUAUAUGAAUUUAUAUUAUUUAUUUGAGUAUUAUAAUUUAUUUAUUUAAUUAUUGAGGAGGGGUAGAGAUUCGAUUAGAAUUAUUAUUAAUUUAAUUAAUUUAAAUAAUAUUGGAAAUAAAAGAAAAUUUGAGAAUAAUUAUUUUGGGGAGAAAAUAGAAUUUAUUUAAAAUUAAGGAAAACAAUGGAAUUAGUAAGAGGUGGGGGUAUUGUGAGAUUUAUUAAAAUGAUGAGGAUUGGGGUUAUUUUUGUUUAAAUCGAGAAGUUAGAAGGAAAAUUGGUGGGUACGUGUUUUGUUGGAAAGGUGGUAGAAAGAAACCUAGGAAAGCGUUGGAAGAACAUAAGUAAUCCCAAAAGACGAAGCUUCAUCGCUGUAUAAUUUUUGAGGUAAGGGGGGAUUAUUAAUAUAUAAGUGGCUAAAUAGAUGGAUAGUGAGGGUUUAUUACCCUCUUGUCUUCUCCCUUUUCCUUUAUUUAUAAUUGAAGUUUGUGGCCAAAGAGGGUUUGGACAAAACCCUUUGAGGCGAUCGAUUGAUAAUGUUUCCUUUCAUUCUUGAGUAUUAUGAUAUGAAUUCCUAUUUGAUCAUUGUUUAUCUUGUUUUGAUAACCUUGUUAAUGUCUUUUGAUAAGGCAUACAUAUAUGAAUCUGUAUGUUUUUCUUUUGAGUCAUAUUAACCUUGGUUAACUUGUAUUGAAACGAUUGGUAGUCAAAUAGGCGAUGAGAGUUUGAAUUUGUUCAAAAGGGAGAAAAAUUAGAGAGUCGAAAAGUUGGAAAAAUCAAAAAUCAAGUAGUCGAAAAGUUGGAAAAGGUCGUAGUGGUUUCGUGCGCGUUCGCACGGGGAUGGAGCAUAGCCUGCGGCAGUGCGGUGCACGAUCGUGCAGGGUCAUAGCCGCGGUCAGCGGUGUAGGUCGUGUUGGCGGUUGUUGCAGACCGCGGAGCGAGCGCGAAGCGGGAACGCAUCGGGCGACGCAUCGGGCGGGGGGUUGGCCAUGGCAAUUUUUGCAGUCCAAUUCAACAUGUUUUUAGUAGUUUUGUAAUUUCUAUAUUGUUCUUUUCUCUUGAUGAGCUUAUUGUCCUUUUAACAAUGUUAGAGUUCAAGAUAAAUAAUAAUGUUAUAUUGAGUUGUCUGAAGGGUUGUGAGUUGACCAUCUUGAAUGAGAGGAUUGUAGAAUAUUAUUGUUACUCUGUUGAUGAGUAAUGUUGAGCAUGUAUGAUAAUUUUUUACCCUGUUGGUGAGCAUAUUUGAGUAAUAAUAUGUUACUCUAUUGAUGUGUAUUAUUGAGCACAUAUGUAAAUAUUUUUUCCUGUUGGUGAGUAAUGUUGAAUAAAUUCAGAUGAGGAACUACAGUGGUGGCAUGAUAUUGACGUAGUUGUGGGUUCAGAUGAGGAAUCGUUGUUGAGUAGUAUGUUGAUGUUGUUCGCUACAUUUUAUGUGUCAUGUAUAUCGGAGAUAGGUAGGACUCCAGUCCAACAAGGUGGUCUCAGAUUCAUUGGUGAAUCGUUGGUUCAUAUGAGGAAUUAGAGACGGGUCUCAAAUUUAUUGGUGGAAUCGUUGGUUCAUAUGAGGAAUCAAUAACAUAACUCUGAAAUUCAAAAACCUGGUCCCAUAUGCAUGCAGUAGUAGAGUUGAGUCGCAUUGCAUUACAUAAAGUUUCAUUUGUGAUUGUUCUAUGUCUGUGAACUAAUUUAUGUGGUUGCUGAUUGUUGUUGAAACUCUCCUAACUGUUGUAUACACCAUUAACAUUAUAAACGUGUUUCUCACCCCUUUUUGUUUGCUUGUGUGGCUCGUUAUAUCGAUGGUACAAAUACCUAGGUAUGAGAGCAUUAGUUGCUACAAUGUGGAAGGAUUGGCGUAGAUGCCUACUUCGUUUUAUUUAUCGUUUUUUAGUUUACAUAGUAUUUCCAUAUUUUGCUCAGAUAGUGUAACAUCAGGAUGGAUUUUCAGUUGUUUGAUGUUUUCUUGAGAAUUUGUUGGGUUUAUUUCCUUAUGUUGGAACUAAAUUGUUUUUAUAAAAGUAUGAGAUAUUUAUGUUGAGUUGAUGAUAUUUUAAUUUUCGUUGCUUAAUUUUAAAUUGAGAAGGAUGUUUUAUGAAGAAGGUGUGACACCCUAUGCUGAGUUAAAAAAAAAUCCUGACCUUUUUAAAUAUGCGUUUUAGGGUUAGGGUAUUACAGAGAAAGCCUGUAUGAUGAUGCAUCAAGGACCGAAGAAUGAGUUUUUAUAUUUUUAUACAAGUACCAUAGCCAAUUUUGGGCUAGGUAUUCCUUUACAAUGUUUGAAGCUUAGGUCCUGAAGGAUAUCAAUGUUAACCCUUCUCAACUACAUCCAAAUAAUUGGCCUUUUGUGAAGAGAUUCAUAUCCUCUGCAGGGCUUUGGAAAUCAAGCCCACUAUAUGCAUAUUAUUUUUUCUUUUUAUGGGACAAAGGGUGUCAACAAAGGUGGUUAGGUUCUGGUAAGUCACUUCAUCAAUUGAGGCUUUUUACUCCCUACAGUUCUAAUUACAAAAACUAGAAGGAAAAUUUUGUUCAAGUUUAAGGUAAUAGUGAUUGCCCCUAUAAUAUUUUUUUAAAGAAUGAGAAACAUCAAUUUAGGUUCUAUUUUUAUGAGUGAGCAUGUGUUAAUUUCGGGUUAUGAGUUUGACAAACUUAGAAAGGCGGAGAUAGAUAGUGUCCAUUUUAUGGAGUAAUUAUGCAUCCUAGGUGUUAGUGAAUUGAUGGAUUAUGAUAAAGAUAAACCAACACUUGAUAAUUAUUUGCAUAAGUGUUUCUUAUUUACUUGUUUUUUCCACUAUUUAUUUGUUUUAUUCUAAUUACUUUGAUGUUACGCUUUAUAGAAAAAGUUGGGUAUGUUGUUGGUAUCUCAAAGGAAGGCGAUGCUAGAGAAGGUGGAAGUCAUAUGAGGUGAAGUGCAUGCUCCAGACUAGUUUUGGAAAAAUAACUCAAAAAAUAAGAGAGAGAGAGCGAGGUGAAUUGCAUGAAUUUUAAAAAUGGUGUUAAAAUAAAAAUCUUUCAUGUAGUCAGAGUUUAAAAUAUGUUUGUAAAAUAAACAAGGUAAAAGCAGUGGAAUGACGAAAAUUAGAUAGGAAAGAAAGUAAUGCAACAAAAAUAAAUAAAUGAUUAAAAUGUAAAGAGAUGAGGGAAGUGAAAAAAUCCUUAGAGAUUUUUAGUGGUUCGAUCUAUUAACAUGACCUACUUCUCUCCCCAAGAAUUCCUUUUUAAUAGUAUCCAUUAUGAUCUUAUGUGAAAUUUUGAUUGUUUUGUCCACAAACAUUCUUACAAAAGGACUAGAGUUUUACACUUGCUAUCCUCCCAACCAAACACAAAGUUUUAACCAUAUAGACCUCAUAAUCAACAAGAGAUUUUACCACUAGGGCAAUCUUGAACCAAGAGAGAGCUUUUACCACCAGACUAAACUCACGAACCAAACAUGAGCUUUAAUUAUGGAGACCUCCCUACAAAACAUAGAUUUUACAAGGUUCACCUCAAUAACCAAAUAAGAGCUUUUCAAUUAAUUCAUAUUACAACCAAAAUAAAAUUCUCAUGAGAGAGAUAUUACAACAAUGUCGCACACUAGAACCAAACACAUCACAAUGUAAAAUAUUUACUCCCAAAAGAACUAAGAAGAGAGAGAGAGAGAGAGAGAGAGAGAGAGAGAGAGGAGAGAGAGAGAGAGAGAGAGAGAGAGAGAGAGAGGGGAAAGAGAGAGAGAGAGAAGAGAGAGAGAGAGAGAGAAGAGAGAGAGAGAGAGAGAGAGAGAGAGAGAGAGGGAAGAGGAGAGAGAGAGAGAGAGAGAUUUCAAAAUAUGUUUUUUGGUGUAAAUUGAAAUUAGGAAAAACCCUCUACUUAUAGGAGAAGGCGUGCCUAAAAAAUGGAGAUAAUCCAUGAGAUUUUCAAUAAUCCUAAUAGAUGAUACAAAUCACAUAAUUGAUUAUUAAGUACAAUAGAAGGUUUUUAAAUGACAUAUCACUUAUUAACUAUAAGCUCUAAUAAUUGACUAUGAGUUGUUGCAAAAGAGAUAAUCGAUUAUGCCUAAACUGUUAAUCAAUUAUCUAGUGUAAAUUACACCUAUAAAGGAUUAUUUGAGCUAGUUAUCAACUAGUUACUUGUGUAAAACAUUUUCUAGUGAUUUUACAAAAGUAGGGAGGCUUUUCAAUCAUUCAAAAGUGUGUCUGAUUUGUCUUAGUAAUUAAAGAGCUGAUCUUUAUACCUUUACAGAUGUCGAUAACUCGACACAAAUACGACGAGCUUUACACACUUCCUAUCUUUCACAACUUUGAAGAUCCAAGAAUCCUUGCUUGAUACACCAAUGGUUCAAAACUUCACCUAAAAAACUAUGUUCAUUUAAAAAUCAGAAUGCUACAAAACAUGAUACAGAAAUUCAAAUGUCGGGCGCUACACACACUACAUGCGAGUUUAUCCAAAAAAAUGAUAGAUAAUGUUGUAUUUUAUAAGCUAUAUCCUUGGUCAAUAAAAUUUGAAUUAUAAAUACUUAUUGUAAAUAUCAUUUUGAACACACAUCAUCAAUCAAACUAUCUUCUACUCGUAUUUAUAUUUUAUCUUUUUCCUUGAUUUUUACUUAUAUUUUCAUUAGUUUUUAAGUUUUUUUUUAAAACUUAUGACAUGUUUGUUUUCGCGGUAGAAAACUAAGAGACGUGCAUCUGACCCAUAAGCUACACUUUUUCAUGGCAAAACACUGUCUAAACGUGCGAUGAUUGUGAAAAAAAAUAAACCAAGAAUGUUAUUAAUAGUGCAUACUUAACAAUUUAUUUAAUGGAAUCCAUAACCGCAGAAAAAAAUUCUUCUUCAACAUAAUUUUUUAAGCAAAAAUUGAAUUUCUGGUUGAAUUUUGUUGAGUUUGUCUCAUAGGUUAUGUCAAGUGGCAAAGGGUCAAGUUGCAGAGGGGUUUAGGGGUAUUAUUAAAAUCUGGAUCAUUAACAUCCCUAUAUGUGUUAAAUUCAGAACAAAUCAAUCAGACGAAACUAUAGUUGCUAUAUAGUCACGAACGUAGGCAAUUUGGUCAAACUGCGUGAACAAAGCCUUUGUGUGUUUCUCUCUAAUUUAAUUUGUAUUUGUGUGACUGUUCCAACAAAUGGUAUCAGAUGUAGCUUAAUCUUGGAAGUGCGAAAUUCAAAGUGACACAGUUUGGCAGAACAUGCAAUUUUGAUUUAUGAAAAAUGAGGGUUAAUGAUCUAUUGGCUCAACAAGGUUUAUAAAAGGCGCUUCAUGGUGAGAAACUGGCGGACAUCACAACCAUUUAUUGGUACAGGAUGAAGGAGAAGGUCGUAAGUUUGAUAAGACAUUGUAUUUUUGAUGACGUGAUGAAUCGUAUCCUGGACCUCACAACUCCGAAGGAUUUCUGGGAUAAAUUGGAAAAUCAGUAUAUGUUCAAGACGCUCAUGAACAAAUUAUUCACGAAGUAGUGUCUCUAUAGCCUGAAGAUGCAAGAAGGAAGUGAUAUCCAGGCUCAUAUUAACACUUUCAACAACAUCCUCGUUGAUUUGACAUGUCUUGGUGUGAAGUUUGAUGAUGAGGAUAAAGCCAUUAUUUUGUUAUGCUUUUUACCAAGCCCUUAUGAGAACUUGGUGACCACUCUUACAUACAGGAAGAAAUCAAUCACGUUGGACUAUAUUUAUUCUACCCUUUUGCAACACGUACAACGUCGCUAAAAUGUAGAGGAAGUUCAGGUGAAGGUUUGUUUAUGAAGGGAGGUAAGACCAGGGGAAGAGGCAAGGUUAAGGCAGCGGGUUCUGGAAAGAAAAAUAGGUUCUAGUCCAAGGACAAAAAAACAUUAGAAUGUUAUGGUUUCAAGGAAAUUGGCCAUUGGAAGAGGGGUUGUUCUAAAAAGUCGGGCAACAAUAGUUCAGAAAAUGUAGUUCAAACUGACAUUCCUGCAGUGAAGAGGAUUUUCUUUGUGUUUCAUCAGGAAAGUGAAUUGAUGCAUGUAUCCUUGAUUCUGAGCGCUCCUACCAUAUGACGCUACAACAGGAGAGAUUCAACUUUUUUAAAUCGGGUGAUUUUGGUUUUGUCUAUUCAUGUGAUGAUAAAACUUGUACCAUCACUAGAAAGGGGGAAAUUAAAACUACUUUGGAUGAUGGUGGCAUGCGCAUGUUGAGUGAGGUGCGUUAUGUUACAGAAUUAAGGAAGAAUUUGAUUUCUUUGGGUACACUUCAAGCGAAUAUUUGUUCUUUCUAAUCAUUUGGAGAUAGAGACAUCAUGAGGUUUAGCAAGGGUGCAAAGACAUUGAUGAGGCCAAGGAGGAAGGUAGGUAACAUUUAUAAGUUAUUGGGAGCACAAUUAUGGGUGAUGUAGCAUUUGUUGAAACUGAUAAUGAUUUAACCAAAAUGUGGAACAUGCGCUUGGGUUAGCUCAAUGAACGUAGGAUGAUAGAACUACAUAAGAGGAAUUUGUUGAAGGGUUUUUGCAGUUGUAUAAUUGGAUUGUGAAAGUAUUGUGUUCUUGGGAAAUAAUGUAGAGUUCGUUUCAAGACCGGGAAACACAAGAUAAAGGGAAUCUUACACUAUGUCCAUUAUGAUGUAUGAGGGCCUACACAAGAGCCAUUCGUUGAAGGUUUCAGUUACUUUGUGACAUUCACUAAUGAUUUUUUUCGUAAGGUCUAGAUUUAUUUUAUGAAAUAUAAAUUUGAGGUCUUCCCCAUGUUCAAAAUAUGGAAGGAAUAGGUUGAGAACCAAACUAAGGGAGAAAUAAAGUAUUUGUGGUAUGAUAAUGGAAUUGGAUACACUGACCAGAAGUUCAUGCAUUUCUGUGAGGAGAAUGGAAUCCAGAGAAACUUUUUUGUGAAAAAGACACCACAACAUAAUGGUGUUGCAGAUAAGAUGAACAUAACUCUAAUAGAGAAAGCAAGGUGCCUUUGGUUGAAUGUCGGUCUUUCAAUAGGUUUAUGGGCAGCAACAAUUAAUAUGGCAUGCUAUCAAGUCAACACAUCACCACAAGAUUCAUUGGAUAGAAAAUUUGUAGAUGAGGUAUGGACAUGUAACUCUAUUGAUCUAAAAUAUUUGAGGAUUUUUUUGUGUCCAUCAUAUAUGUACAUUUCCAGUGAAGAUCGGUCUAAACUUGACCUCAAGUCAAAGUAGUGCAUCUUUAUUGGUUACAAUAAAGGUGUCAAGGGGAACAAGUUUUGGGAUCCAGUUAAGACGAAGGUGGUUGUCAGUAGAGAUGUUGUAUUUUAUGAGUAGUCGAUGUUGAAACAGUAAAAUGUGAUAGUUGUGCCAAAUACUGAGGUAGAAAAUUCCAGUCAGGACAAGAUUCAGGUGGACAUCGAGGAGUCACCAGUGAGUCCAAGGUAGGUUGGAGCCCAACAACAGGAUGAACAAGGCUCAAAUUCAGGCGGAGUUCAAGAUUCAGGUGGAGUACAAGACUAUACACUUGUGUGUGAUAGGGAGCCUCGUCGUAUUACACCUCUAGUGAGAUAUGGGUUUGAAGACUGAUCAACAUAUGUUUUUUUACCAAUUCAGAUACCCUUCUACUUUUUGAUAGGUUAUGGCUAUCCAGGAGAAAGAUAAGUGGAUGGGUGUUAUGCUGGAGGAGAUGGAGUCCUUGAAAAAGAGUGAGACAUGUGAUCUUGUCCGGAUACUAUAGGGAAAGAGAGUUAUUGGUUGCAAGUGGGUGUACAAUAAAAAGCUAGCAGUAAUAGAAAAGAAAGUGGAAAAGUUCAAAGCUUGCCUAGUUUCAAAUGGGUAUUCACAGCACAAGGGGAUUAUUAUGAUGAGAUUUUCAGUCCAGUGGUUAGACACACUUCUAUUAGGAAAGUAUUGGCCCUAGUAGCCAGUAUGGAUAUGUAUUUAAAGCAUAUGGAUAUGGAAACAUCUUUUCUUCAUGGUAAUCAAGAUGAGCAAAUUUAUAUGCAGUAGCCAGAGAGUUUCAGUGACAUUGGACAUGGCAGGCUUGUUUGUAAAUUGAAGAGGUCUUUGUAUGGCUUGAAGAAGUCUCCAAGGAAAUGAUACAAAAACUUUGAUUCGUACAUGUCCCAGUUGGUUGUAGAAGGUGUGAUUAUGAUUGUUGUGUUUAUGUGAGGAAUCUUGACAACGACUCUUUUAUUUUCCUGUUACUUUAUAUUGAUGAUAUGGUGAUUGCUGCCAAACAUUUGUGUGAUAUAAAUGAGUUGAAGACCAUGUUGGGUAAGGAUUUUGAUAUGAAGGAUCCAGGUGUUGCAAAGAAUAUUAUUGGGAUGGAAAAACUCUGAGAUUGAUUUGAAGACACACUUAAAGAUUGAAGAUAUGUUUAAGAUUCCUUAUGUCAGUGCAGUUGAUUGUUUGAUGUAUGUUAUGGUUUGCACUAGACCUGAUUUGGCACAAGCAGUUAGUCAAGUGUGCAAGUUAUGUCCAAGUCAGGGAAGCAGUAUUGAGAAGCAUUCAAGUGGAUCCUAAGGUACUUGAAAGGUACAACGGAUCGUGGUAUCAUGUUCAGCACGGAGCAGGGUAUUCCAUCAGUUAUGGGAUAUGUGGAUUUUGACUAUGUAGGUGAUUUGGAUGAUAAGUGGUCUACAAAAUGGUAUGUCUUUAUUCUUGCGGUGGAAAACUAAGAGACGCGUGUCUAGCCCAGAGGCUACUUUAUCCAGCUUCACUUUUUCACGGUGAAGCGAUGUUUGACAUAAGCUAAACCAAACAUGUUAUUAAUAGUGUACACUGAAUUUAAUGGAAUCCAUAACCGUCGAAAAAAGUUUCUUCUAUAAAAUAAUUUUUAAGCAAAAAUUGAAUUAUGGUUGAGUUCUAUUGAGUUUGACUCAUAGGUAAUGUUAAUUGGUUAAGGGGCGGGGUUGCGGAGCGGUUUAGGGAUAUUAUUGUAAUCUGGAUCAUUAGUAUCCCUAUAUAUGUUCGUAACACUGAAACCCUAAUGUGUGAAAUUCAUAACAAAUCAAUAAGAUAAAACUAUAGAUGCUCUUUAAUCGCAGAUGUAGGUAAUUUGAGUGAACUGCGUGAACAAUGUCUUUGUGUGUUUCUUUCUACUCUAAUCUAUAUUUGCGUAAAUGCUCCAACAAGUUUCUUUCAACAUCACAUAUUAAAGUUGUAUCACUCUGAGCACAUAUUAUUUUGAGUUAUGAAGUACUGAUUCAAACACUGAUGUGACUCAGACACACAUAGACACCAUUAAUAACUUUAAAAAAAAUAGAAUUGCUUUAAUUUAAUCACGUUUUUGUUUCUGUGUCUUGUUAGUGUCAAAUACCAACACAAGUCGGACCACCAACACACAUUCAAUUUUAUUGGUAUAUCAAGUGUGCGUAUGAGUCUCACAUCGGGUGAAAAAGUGAAUGUUAAACACUUUAUAAAUGAAAAAACCCAUAAACCCAAUGCUUUAAGAUUUUAGAUUAAUACGUGAUGUUUAUCUCAUUUAUAUGGUUGUUCCUAAAGCCCGAUGUAAUGAUUCCUGAACCCUUUCAUGACCAACAAACUCAAAAUGCAAAAUUAAAGUUAAUAACAAUGACCGCAAAUAAAACUUAAUAAAAUUAGUAAAUAUACUAUUAGAAGUAACAAAGAAGAAUAUAUCAGAGGUUUUAUCUAUCCUAAGAUGUCACAGAAGCAAGCAAUUACAAUCAAUACUAUAGUUUAGAAAGAAUAUUGCACAAAGCCAUACAGAGAGAUCUUAUUAUUCAACAUAAAUAAAAUGAAAGCACCAGAAUUCAUUCACGAGCAACAACAAGCACUUGUUUCCCAACAUUCUGACCACUAAAUAAUCCCACCAAUGCUGCAGGGCCUUUCUCAAGUCCCUCAGCUAUGUCUUCCACAUACACAACCUUCCCUUCUCUGAUAUAAGGCAGAACAUACUCCAAGAAUUUGGCAUACAGAUGAUAGAAAUCACCUACAACAAAACCUUGCAUACGAAUCCGUUUAUACACAAGAUGUGCCAAAUUCGUUACGCCUUCAUGUUGCGUAAGAUUAUACUGUGAGAUCAUUCCACACACAGGUAUGCGACCAUUGAGUUUCAUAUUCAAGAGUACAGCAUCAAGUGUCUUUCCUCCAACAUUCUCAUAGUAAAU